Molecule: long non-coding RNA, 598 nt
Filed under: Homo sapiens (human)
Lineage: Eukaryota; Metazoa; Chordata; Mammalia; Primates; Hominidae
Description: HSALNT0310559
Source: RNAcentral
CUAAAGAGUCUCUACCUCUGUGAGUGCCUAAUGAAGGAAUGUGACUUCCCAAGCCUGAAUGACCAGCCUCUAAAGCAGCUGGAAGGGAAGCAGCUGGCAGCAGGAUCCCAUGGAUAUUAAGCGCCCUUCCAAUAACCUUAUAACCCUGCCAAGAAAUCAGUGUCACCAGACACCACCUAAAAAUGGAAGAUUAAUUCAGCCACAAAUUAGGACCUUUACUCCACCUCAGUCCCCCAAAUACAUCCUCAUGUGCACAGGAAGAGGUUCUAGUCCUCUGUAACAUAUCCCAAACAAAGCCAGCUGGACUCAGGCUUCUUUCUUAGGGCAAUAGAAGCAAGAGCUGCUAGAAGAAACAGGCCAGCAUGGAACAUCUGUUGGGACCUUUGUUAUCUCCAGUACUUAAAUAUUUGUUGAAGGAAUUAACUCCUGAGGAAGGAGCUUGGGAAAGAGCCGACAGGGAUUAUUGCACAGGUAAGGAAAAGAAAGGAAGUAUGCAAAGACAGCGUUGGGUGGGUUUUCUUGAUGAGCAUGACAGAAACCAAGUCAAACUUCUAUCAGUUUUCCAGGGGGAGGCCCUGGGAAAAGAGGUCUCUAUGGU